This 300-nucleotide ribosomal RNA is filed under the name uncultured Acidobacteriaceae bacterium. RNAcentral's name for it is "bacterial SSU rRNA". It matches the Rfam family "Bacterial small subunit ribosomal RNA", at positions 114 to 417 of the family's 1533-position model. Lineage: Bacteria; Pseudomonadati; Acidobacteriota; Terriglobia; Terriglobales; Acidobacteriaceae. The record is from RNAcentral.
CACGUGACUAACCUACCUCCGAGUGGGGAAUAACCUAGGGAAACCUGGGCUAAUACCGCAUAACACUUACGAGUCAAAGCAGCAAUGCGCUUGGAGAGGGGGUCGGCGGCAGAUUAGCUAGUUGGUGGGGUAAGUGGCCCGAACCAAGGCGGAUGAUCUGUAUCCGGCCUGAGAGGGCGGCACGGACACACUGGAACUGAAACACGGUCCAGACUCCUACGGGAGGCAGCAGUGGGGAAGUUUGUCGCAAUGGGGGAAACCCCGACGACGGCAGCAACGCCGCGUGGAGGAUGAAGUCUC